This 1453-nucleotide ribosomal RNA is filed under the name uncultured organism. Its description in RNAcentral is "SSU rRNA". It matches the Rfam family "Bacterial small subunit ribosomal RNA". The record is from RNAcentral.
AUUAUUGAACGCUGGCGGCAGGCCUAACACAUGCAAGUCGAACGGUAACAGGAAGAAGCUUGCUUCUUUGCUGACGAGUGGCGGACGGGUGAGUAAUGUCUGGGAAACUGCCUGAUGGAGGGGGAUAACUACUGGAAACGGUAGCUAAUACCGCAUAACGUCGCAAGACCAAAGAGGGGGACCUUCGGGCCUCUUGCCAUCGGAUGUGCCCAGAUGGGAUUAGCUAGUAGGUGGGGUAAAGGCUCACCUAGGCGACGAUCCCUAGCUGGUCUGAGAGGAUGACCAGCCACACUGGAACUGAGACACGGUCCAGACUCCUACGGGAGGCAGCAGUGGGGAAUAUUGCACAAUGGGCGCAAGCCUGAUGCAGCCAUGCCGCGUGUAUGAAGAAGGCCUUCGGGUUGUAAAGUACUUUCAGCGGGGAGGAAGGGAGUAAAGUUAAUACCUUUGCUCAUUGACGUUACCCGCAGAAGAAGCACCGGCUAACUCCGUGCCAGCAGCCGCGGUAAUACGGAGGGUGCAAGCGUUAAUCGGAAUUACUGGGCGUAAAGCGCACGCAGGCGGUUUGUUAAGUCAGAUGUGAAACCCCCGGGCUCAACCUGGGAACUGCAUCUGAUACUGGCAAGCCUUGAGUCUCGUAGAGGGGGGUAGAAUUCCAGGUGUAGCGGUGAAAUGCGUAGAGAUCUGGAGGAAUACCGGUGGCGAAGGCGGCCCCCCUGGACGAAGACUGACGCUCAGGUGCGAAAGCGUGGGGAGCAAACAGGAUUAGAUACCCUGGUAGUCCACGCCGUAAACGAUGUCGACUUGGAGGUUGUGCCCUUGAGGCGUGGCUUCCGGAGCUAACGCGUUAAGUCGACCGCCUGGGGAGUACGGCCGCAAGGUUAAAACUCAAAUGAAUUGACGGGGGCCCGCACAAGCGGUGGAGCAUGUGGUUUAAUUCGAUGCAACGCGAAGAACCUUACCUGGUCUUGACAUCCACAGAACUUUCCAGAGAUGGAUUGGUGCCUUCGGGAACUGUGAGACAGGUGCUGCAUGGCUGUCGUCAGCUCGUGUUGUGAAAUGUUGGGUUAAGUCCCGCAACGAGCGCAACCCUUAUCCUUUGUUGCCAGCGGUCCGGCCGGGAACUCAAAGGAGACUGCCAGUGAUAAACUGGAGGAAGGUGGGGAUGACGUCAAAUCAUCAUGGCCCUUACGACCAGGGCUACACACGUGCUACAAUGGCGCAUACAAAGAGAAGCGACCUCGCGAGAGCAAGCGGACCUCAUAAAGUGCGUCGUAGUCCGGAUUGGAGUCUGCAACUCGACUCCAUGAAGUCGGAAUCGCUAGUAAUCGUGGAUCAGAAUGCCACGGUGAAUACGUUCCCGGGCCUUGUACACACCGCCCGUCACACCAUGGGAGUGGGUUGCAAAAGAAGUAGGUAGCUUAACCUUCGGGAGGGCGCUUACCACUUUGUG